ACCUGUUCAGUGCAAUGGUAGCUCGCGUUCCUGGUAAGGACGAAACGCGGGUUCGUGUCCCGCCUGAGGUC
This is a non-coding RNA of Parelaphostrongylus tenuis, 71 nucleotides long. The record is from the annotation of a GenBank genome assembly. Lineage: Eukaryota; Metazoa; Nematoda; Chromadorea; Rhabditida; Metastrongylidae.